Molecule: ribosomal RNA, 465 nt
Filed under: uncultured bacterium
Lineage: Bacteria
Description: partial 16S ribosomal RNA
Rfam family: Bacterial small subunit ribosomal RNA
Source: RNAcentral
GACGAACGCUGGCGGCGUGCUUAACACAUGCAAGUCGAACGGAAAGGCCCUGCUUGCCGGGUACUCGAGUGGCGAACGGGUGAGUAACACGUGGGUGAUCUGCCCUGCACUUCGGGAUAAGCCUGGGAAACUGGGUCUAAUACCGGAUAGGAGCCAUUUUUAGUGUGAUGGUUGGAAAGUUUUUUCGGUGUAGGAUGAGCUCGCGGCCUAUCAGCUUGUUGGUGGGGUAAUGGCCUACCAAGGCGGCGACGGGUAGCCGGCCUGAGAGGGUGGACGGCCACAUUGGGACUGAGAUACGGCCCAGACUCCUACGGGAGGCAGCAGUGGGGAAGAUUGCACAAGGGGCGCAAGCCUGAUGCAGCGACGCCGCGUGGGGGAGGACGGACUUCGGGUUGUAAACUCCUUUCGCUAGGGACGAAGCUUUUUGUGACGGUACCUAGAUAAGAAGCACCGGCUAACUACGUG